This 2062-nucleotide long non-coding RNA is filed under the name Homo sapiens (human). Its description in RNAcentral is "HSALNT0317143". The record is from RNAcentral. Lineage: Eukaryota; Metazoa; Chordata; Mammalia; Primates; Hominidae.
UGCCAGCAUGUGAAGAAGGAUGUGUUUGCUUCCCCUUCCACCAUGAUUGUUGAAAGCCUCCACAAUCAAGCUUUUAUUAAAGAACGAGUACUACCAUUGUGACCACAGAAGAUAGAAUUCGACACCAAGAGCGUGCUGGCCCUUCUCAAAGUGUCCCAUGAAAAAGUUAUUCCACACCUCCUCCCUGACCUUGUCGUGCAGACGCUUCCAGGAUGAACUCCAACUCGCCGAGCCACCGCAGCUCCUCAGCUGACUAAAAGAGUUAAUGAUCCUCCAGGUUAAAACUCCUCCUUGAGCACACACCUUCUCUCAACAAAUGACAAUACUUGGCAAACUGAACUCCUCCCACGAGUCGCCCUCUGCUAGGAGGAAUUGCUGGCUGCUCCCUGCUUAUUGCAUUCUCUCAGAGCAGCUGUCUCAAAGGAGGCUGCUCCCAUGCCGAUCUUUUUGUGCCCAACUUACAGGGAAAGAACUCAUUGCCUGCCCAGUGCCUGCCAGCCUCAGACUUCUGACUGCAAAUCCAACAGGACAAUACAGAGUUGGCAGGACCCUUCUCAGGAGUGAGGAGCGGGUGCAAGAACUCCCAGGUCACUGCUUUAUUCAGAGGACCUAAGGAAUUGGGUUGAGCGGAAGCGCACAGAGCUGCAGAUUUUCUUUGAUGAAUGAAAGCUUCAAUCCACAGGUUUCUAAUAGUACUCUCAUUCAUUUUGCUUACAAAAGGUACAGAUUAUCACUAAUCCUCUUCAAAAGGUAUUUGUAAUCACAUUUCCUUGUAUAUGCAAAAAAAAUUCUAUUUAAAGUGUAUGUGAAAUUAAGUUUACUUUUUUGAAACACAUGUAGAAAAAGAACAAAGGUAUCAUCAAACUAGUCUAUGUAGUCUCCUUUCACUAAAAUAUUGAUGGUUCAACACUUAAGGAAGUCUAGAAAUAAAAUAUUCAAAUGACUAUAUGGCCAGACUCUUUUUUAAUUUGUUUACACAUUUAUUCAAUAAACAGUGCCUGAGCACAGGGACUACCUAAAAAAGUUAAGUCAUAUUUGCUACCCUCGUGUUGAUGUAAGGAUUCAAACAUCCAAACAAAUAUGAUAGAAAGUGGAUUGUUAUUAUAAGAGAUGGAACAGAAGUCUAAGAAAACUGUCAGAAGUCCCAAUGUGGUGUAGAGAAACACACCCCUACCCUAGCUCUGGCAAAAUACCUGUAUUCCAGCUGCUUGUCUGCACUGGCCUUGCUGUGUGAUCAUUUAACUAUAGGAACCGGCUCUUCUCAUCUGGUACCGCCCGACAGGACUUUUGAGAGAAUGGAAUGAGAUCAUUGUGAAAGUACAUUGUACAGCACUGAUCAAGUGCUGUUAGGAUUAUUAAACUAAAUGUGCAUUUGAACAGUAGGUGUUAGGACAUAGUGGCUAAGGGCAUAUACACUAAAUUUGGAAGGCCUGAGUUCAAAUUUGGACUGUACUAGGUGGUCGUUGUGCUACCUUGGGAUAUAACAAGUUAUACAAACUCCAUUCUCCUCUAUUUCCUCACAUGUAACAUAAAGAUGAUGAUAAUAGAACCUACGUCCUAAAACAGACUUUUAAGAAAGAGUGCCUGGGAAAUAAUAGGUGUUCCACAAAAGAUAGUUAUUUUUACCUUCACCAUGUCCACUGUCUGUCCCUCAAGCUACAUUGGCAAUGAUAUCUCCAACCUGACCCAAAUAACCCUAAUGUGACCAAGAUCAAUGUGUGCAUGUGUGUGUGUGUAUAUGUUGUAUGUGUAAAACCUUGAGCAAAUAGUGAAGUAUAGGAUAAACAUAAAAAGUAAGCUAAGUAAACCCAUUGUAAUAGUAAUUACAAAAUAUAUAUGUACGUGUGUGUGUAUGUGUGUGUGUGUGUGUAUAUAUAUAUGUAGUUCUCUUGGUUUCAAAAAUUUGCUAGCACAAUUUAACCAAAUAAAUGAAAAUAAAAUUAACAUUUUAUCACAAGGUCAAAAUAUAAGGAGUAAAGGGUUUAUGGGGGGGGUAAUAAAAAUGUUCUAGAACUACUGAUGGCUUCAAAAAUUUGUGAACAUACUAAACCUCACUGAACUC